RNAcentral lists this ribosomal RNA (434 nucleotides) under uncultured Lachnospiraceae bacterium. Its description in RNAcentral is "partial 16S ribosomal RNA". It matches the Rfam family "Bacterial small subunit ribosomal RNA", at positions 341 to 792 of the family's 1533-position model. The record is from RNAcentral. Lineage: Bacteria; Bacillati; Bacillota; Clostridia; Lachnospirales; Lachnospiraceae.
ACGGAAGGCAGCAGUGGGGAAUAUUGGACAAUGGGGGCAACCCUGAUCCAGCGACGCCGCGUGAGUGAAGAAGUAUUUCGGUAUGUAAAGCUCUAUCAGCAGGGAAGAUGAUGACGGUACCUGACUAAGAAGCCCCGGCUAACUACGUGCCAGCAGCCGCGGUAAUACGUAGGGGGCAAGCGUUAUCCGGAUUUACUGGGUGUAAAGGGAGCGUAGGCGGUCAGACAAGUCAGAUGUGAAAGCCCGGGGCUCAACUCCGGGACUGCAUUUGAAACUGUAGGACUAGAGUACUGGAGAGGCAAGCGGAAUUCCUAGUGUAGCGGUGAAAUGCGUAGAUAUUAGGAAGAACACCGGUGGCGAAGGCGGCUUGCUGGACUGAGACUGACGCUGAGGCUCGAAAGCGUGGGGAGCAAACAGGAUUAGAUACCCUGGUA